AGAGUUUGAUUAUGGCUCARAUUGAACGCUGGCGGCAUGCCUUACACAUGCAAGUCGAACGGUAACAGGUCUUCGGAUGCUGACGAGUGGCGAACGGGUGAGUAAUACAUCGGAACGUGCCUAGUAGUGGGGGAUAACUACUCGAAAGAGUGGCUAAUACCGCAUGAGAUCUACGGAUGAAAGCAGGGGAUCGCAAGACCUUGUGCUACUAGAGCGGCCGAUGGCAGAUUAGGUAGUUGGUGGGAUAAAAGCUUACCAAGCCGACGAUCUGUAGCUGGUCUGAGAGGACGAUCAGCCACACUGGGACUGAGACACGGCCCAGACUCCUACGGGAGGCAGCAGUGGGGAAUUUUGGACAAUGGGCGCAAGCCUGAUCCAGCAAUGCCGCGUGCAGGAUGAAGGCCUUCGGGUUGUAAACUGCUUUUGUACGGAACGAAAAGCCCUGGGUUAAUACCCUGGGGUCAUGACGGUACCGUAAGAAUAAGCACCGGCUAACUACGUGCCAGCAGCCGCGGUAAUACGUAGGGUGCGAGCGUUAAUCGGAAUUACUGGGCGUAAAGCGUGCGCAGGCGGUUUUGUAAGACAGAGGUGAAAUCCCCGGGCUCAACCUG
This 611-nucleotide ribosomal RNA is filed under the name uncultured Comamonas sp. Its description in RNAcentral is "bacterial SSU rRNA". It matches the Rfam family "Bacterial small subunit ribosomal RNA", at positions 8 to 616 of the family's 1533-position model. Lineage: Bacteria; Pseudomonadati; Pseudomonadota; Betaproteobacteria; Burkholderiales; Comamonadaceae. The record is from RNAcentral.